This 3011-nucleotide ribosomal RNA is filed under the name Salmonella enterica subsp. enterica serovar Typhimurium. RNAcentral's name for it is "bacterial LSU rRNA". It matches the Rfam family "Bacterial large subunit ribosomal RNA". The record is from RNAcentral. Lineage: Bacteria; Pseudomonadati; Pseudomonadota; Gammaproteobacteria; Enterobacterales; Enterobacteriaceae.
GGGUUGUGAGGUUAAGCGACUAAGCGUACACGGUGGAUGCCCUGGCAGUCAGAGGCGAUGAAGGGCGUGCUAAUCUGCGAUAAGCGCCGGUAAGGUGAUAUGAACCGUUAUAACCGGCGAUACCCGAAUGGGGAAACCCAGUGUGAUUCGUCACACUAUCAUUAACUGAAUCCAUAGGUUAAUGAGGCGAACCGGGGGAACUGAAACAUCUAAGUACCCCGAGGAAAAGAAAUCAACCGAGAUUCCCCCAGUAGCGGCGAGCGAACGGGGAGGAGCCCAGAGCCUGAAUCAGCAUGUGUGUUAGUGGAAGCGUCUGGAAAGGUGCGCGAUACAGGGUGACAGCCCCGUACACAAAAGCGCAUGUGCUGUGAGCUCGAUGAGUAGGGCGGGACACGUGGUAUCCUGUCUGAAUAUGGGGGGACCAUCCUCCAAGGCUAAAUACUCCUGACUGACCGAUAGUGAACCAGUACCGUGAGGGAAAGGCGAAAAGAACCCCGGCGAGGGGAGUGAAAAAGAACCUGAAACCGUGUACGUACAAGCAGUGGGAGCACCCUUCGGGGUGUGACUGCGUACCUUUUGUAUAAUGGGUCAGCGACUUAUAUUCUGUAGCAAGGUUAACCGUAUAGGGGAGCCGGAGGGAAACCGAGUCUUAAUUGGGCGUUAAGUUGCAGGGUAUAGACCCGAAACCCGGUGAUCUAGCCAUGGGCAGGUUGAAGGUUGGGUAACACUAACUGGAGGACCGAACCGACUAAUGUUGAAAAAUUAGCGGAUGACCUGUGGCUGGGGGUGAAAGGCCAAUCAAACCGGGAGAUAGCUGGUUCUCCCCGAAAGCUAUUUAGGUAGCGCCUCGUGAAUUCAUCUCCGGGGGUAGAGCACUGUUUCGGCUAGGGGGCCAUCCCGGCUUACCAACCCGAUGCAAACUGCGAAUACCGGAGAAUGUUAUCACGGGAGACACACGGCGGGUGCUAACGUCCGUCGUGAAGAGGGAAACAACCCAGACCGCCAGCUAAGGUCCCAAAGUCAUGGUUAAGUGGGAAACGAUGUGGGAAGGCCCAGACAGCCAGGAUGUUGGCUUAGAAGCAGCCAUCAUUUAAAGAAAGCGUAAUAGCUCACUGGUCGAGUCGGCCUGCGCGGAAGAUGUAACGGGGCUAAACCAUGCACCGAAGCUGCGGCAGCGAACGUAUCACCCAAGACAACUUUACGGAGUUGACGAUUGACGGAGCGAAGCGACGUCAAAGCGUUCAUUAAAGUCGAGUUGGCUUAGGGAUACGUUCGUUGGGUAGGGGAGCGUUCUGUAAGCCUGUGAAGGUGUGUCGUGAGGCAUGCUGGAGGUAUCAGAAGUGCGAAUGCUGACAUAAGUAACGAUAAAGCGGGUGAAAAGCCCGCUCGCCGGAAGACCAAGGGUUCCUGUCCAACGUUAAUCGGGGCAGGGUGAGUCGACCCCUAAGGCGAGGCCGAAAGGCGUAGUCGAUGGGAAACGGGUUAAUAUUCCCGUACUUGGUGUUACUGCGAAGGGGGGACGGAGAAGGCUAUGUUGGCCGGGCGACGGUUGUCCCGGUUUAAGCGUGUAGGUGUGUGUUCCAGGUAAAUCCGGUUCACUUUAACACUGAGGCGUGACGACGAGGCACUACGGUGCUGAAGCAACAAAUGCCCUGCUUCCAGGAAAAGCCUCUAAGCAUCAGGUAACACGAAAUCGUACCCCAAACCGACACAGGUGGUCAGGUAGAGAAUACCAAGGCGCUUGAGAGAACUCGGGUGAAGGAACUAGGCAAAAUGGUGCCGUAACUUCGGGAGAAGGCACGCUGACACGUAGGUGAAGUGAUUUACUCAUGGAGCUGAAGUCAGUCGAAGAUACCAGCUGGCUGCAACUGUUUAUUAAAAACACAGCACUGUGCAAACACGAAAGUGGACGUAUACGGUGUGACGCCUGCCCGGUGCCGGAAGGUUAAUUGAUGGGGUCAGCGUAAGCGAAGCUCCUGAUCGAAGCCCCGGUAAACGGCGGCCGUAACUAUAACGGUCCUAAGGUAGCGAAAUUCCUUGUCGGGUAAGUUCCGACCUGCACGAAUGGCGUAAUGAUGGCCAGGCUGUCUCCACCCGAGACUCAGUGAAAUUGAACUCGCUGUGAAGAUGCAGUGUACCCGCGGCAAGACGGAAAGACCCCGUGAACCUUUACUAUAGCUUGACACUGAACAUUGAGCCUUGAUGUGUAGGAUAGGUGGGAGGCUUUGAAGUGUGGACGCCAGUCUGCAUGGAGCCGACCUUGAAAUACCACCCUUUAAUGUUUGAUGUUCUAACGUGGACCCGUAAUCCGGGUUGCGGACAGUGUCUGGUGGGUAGUUUGACUGGGGCGGUCUCCUCCUAAAGAGUAACGGAGGAGCACGAAGGUUGGCUAAUCCUGGUCGGACAUCAGGAGGUUAGUGCAAUGGCAUAAGCCAGCUUGACUGCGAGCGUGACGGCGCGAGCAGGUGCGAAAGCAGGUCAUAGUGAUCCGGUGGUUCUGAAUGGAAGGGCCAUCGCUCAACGGAUAAAAGGUACUCCGGGGAUAACAGGCUGAUACCGCCCAAGAGUUCAUAUCGACGGCGGUGUUUGGCACCUCGAUGUCGGCUCAUCACAUCCUGGGGCUGAAGUAGGUCCCAAGGGUAUGGCUGUUCGCCAUUUAAAGUGGUACGCGAGCUGGGUUUAGAACGUCGUGAGACAGUUCGGUCCCUAUCUGCCGUGGGCGCUGGAGAACUGAGGGGGGCUGCUCCUAGUACGAGAGGACCGGAGUGGACGCAUCACUGGUGUUCGGGUUGUCAUGCCAAUGGCACUGCCCGGUAGCUAAAUGCGGAAGAGAUAAGUGCUGAAAGCAUCUAAGCACGAAACUUGCCCCGAGAUGAGUUCUCCCUGAGACUUAGAGUCUCCUGAAGGAACGUUGAAGACGACGACGUUGAUAGGCCGGGUGUGUAAGCGCAGCGAUGCGUUGAGCUAACCGGUACUAAUGAACCGUGAGGCUUAACCUUACAACGCCGAAG